RNAcentral lists this ribosomal RNA (496 nucleotides) under uncultured Bacillus sp. RNAcentral's name for it is "partial 16S ribosomal RNA". The record is from RNAcentral. Lineage: Bacteria; Bacillati; Bacillota; Bacilli; Caryophanales; Bacillaceae.
CACGUAGUUAGCCGUGGCUUUCUGGUUAGGUACCGUCAAGGUACAAGCAGUUACUCUUGUACUUGUUCUUCCCUAACAACAGAGUUUUACGACCCGAAAGCCUUCAUCACUCACGCGGCGUUGCUCCGUCAGACUUUCGUCCAUUGCGGAAGAUUCCCUACUGCUGCCUCCCGUAGGAGUCUGGGCCGUGUCUCAGUCCCAGUGUGGCCGAUCACCCUCUCAGGUCGGCUAUGCAUCGUUGCCUUGGUGAGCCGUUACCUCACCAACUAGCUAAUGCACCGCGGGCCCAUCUGUAAGUGAUAGCCGAAACCAUCUUUCAAUCAUCUCCCAUGAAGGAGAAGAUCCUAUCCGGUAUUAGCUUCGGUUUCCCGAAGUUAUCCCAGUCUUACAGGCAGGUUGCCCACGUGUUACUCACCCGUCCGCCGCUAACGUCAUAGAAGCAAGCUUCUAAUCAGUUCGCUCGACUUGCAUGUAUUAGGCACGCCGCCAGCGUUCA